GUAACGAAUCGAAUAAAAGUUCGCAGGUUUCAUUUUUCGCUCAUGUCCUUUAACCUGAAGUGUUGGUUCGAAUCCAGCUCGUGACA
RNAcentral lists this transfer RNA (86 nucleotides) under Pulsatilla dahurica. Its description in RNAcentral is "tRNA-Met". The record is from RNAcentral. Lineage: Eukaryota; Viridiplantae; Streptophyta; Magnoliopsida; Ranunculales; Ranunculaceae.